CGUAAUAUUCGGAAAUAUUGAUGGAGUGUCCUGUCUAGGACGGGAGGAUCUCGCGGCUGUCGACAAUUGCAGAUGAGGCAGUGAGUGCUGCAGGCUAGUCACGUGACCCGUACAACCUGUCACCCUAGCGCCUAAAUAAGUCUCUUGUUGUAGAAAAAGUCGUAUAAGUUGCUUCACCUUCCUAAUACUUUUGAGUCUUUUUUCCACUUAAUUUUCCUCUCUCUCUCUCCCAACAUGCGUGCUGGGGGGCACACACACACAAAGACAUAUUUUCUCUAUUUCACAGUUUUAUAUAUUGCCUUCCUUUUGAGGUAUGACUUUACAAUCCCUCAAUAACAAUAUUUCUCAAAACCUUAGGACAGAAACACAGCUACUCGCAAAGCACUGAUCCUCUCCAAAGUUUCUUUCCUUUCGAAUCGAGUUAUGUGUUAUUAACAGUUUUAUUGGGAACCUCAAGUUCAUAAUCAAUCCAUUGUCAAAUACAGCUGUGCGUACUCCUGUCACCACACUACCAUUUACUGGCUAAAAAAAUAUAAUUCUUUCAAAUUUCAGGAGGAAGGUUGAUCUUUAAAAACUUUAUGAAAUAUGUUUGAAUCAUGGAGUAUUUGGCUCGUGCGUACUGCUUGAUUUUUUGGCGGGAUGUUUGACAAAUAGAAAAAUACUAAUUGAAGGAAAUCUUUUUCCAUAAAUAUCUUUAUCUCUUUCAUACUCUUUGACUUCACAUGAUAGAUAUAUUUAUAAUUAUAAGUGACCAACCAGUUCAGUAACUGAGAUCUCUUGUCGGGUGUCUGUGGGUAUGUAUAUGCCAGCGCAUGUCUCGGGGAAAUUUUCUCACUUAUCCGACUUCAUUCAGUACUGAGUACACGCGCAGUCGGGAAUCUGUGACGUCAGUCUCUGAUGUCCCGUUCUGCUUUAUGUGACCCCGGGGUCAGGGAAACUGUCGAGCCGUGUCUGCGGUGUGAGUCCACGUCCGGCCGGAGCCACUUGAAGGGACUUUGCGGGCGGAAACGAUAAACUCUGUUUCACCUGUUGGAAAACUUUCCACAAAAUGUCAGAGUGCGUGGCUUUACCGCGCUACACGCGCAAUCUCCCCUCUACACUGGAACCUCAUUAGAACGUCUGGCGAGUGUCCGAGAGUGAAACUUGUUUACGAGGGUGUAAAACUCGCGUUUAUUGGACAAUCAGGAAAAAACAUCAUACACAGACCAGUCCGUCUCGCCAGAUGUCCUGUGAUAUGAAGGAGGACCUCUUGUGCUCAGUCUGUCCAGAAUCACUGACGUGGAUGUCCCCAUGUCCCGCUCCAUCCUCUGCUACCUCCACUCAAUGUUGAAUGUGAAAGGAGGUCCACUGUAUGUGAUCAGCCUCACCCUGAGAAUGUAAAGACGCUGUUUCCAAAAAUAAACCUUGUCGGUAAAAGGUUUCUGCAUUUCGUGAUUCACAUCAAGUUAGCAUCCAUCCUACUAAACAUCAUCCAAACAGCAAACGUUCAAAAUAAAAUUCCAAUCAAAUAUCAA
Long non-coding RNA from Pomacea canaliculata, 1514 nucleotides. RefSeq lists it as uncharacterized. Lineage: Eukaryota; Metazoa; Mollusca; Gastropoda; Architaenioglossa; Ampullariidae. The transcript is spliced from 2 exons. The record is from RefSeq and is a predicted model, not a curated record.